GGGGCGGGUGCUGGACCCGGAGGGGCCUUCCGGCAACUUUUUGGUUGGUGCCGCCCCGCCCAGGCCCCUUUUAAACUUGAUCUCCGCAGUGCCCUCCCUUUUCGGCCGCGGCGCGUGACUGGGCUUGGUGGAGUUUCAAGAUGCUGAUGAACUUAAGGUCUGGCGCUUGAAAGAAUCAGUGAAGCUUUUCAAGUAGAGGAGUGGUGUUUCCAGUGAAAUCUAUGGCAAGAUGGUUUGGGGUCACUAUCUACAUGAACUGCCAAGUUGGAAAAUCAAAAAUACAUCAAAAUCACUCUUGGGACAUAAGUCACGGAAGUGACUCAUGCACACAAUAAAUACCCAAGAAGCAGGACCAGACGGCAGUUGUGUAUUGGCACGCUCAUCAGUGCUGCAAAAAUUCCCCUUCUGGAUGGCAACAACAAUGCUGUAUCCACAGCAGCAUUUUAAAUCUCACCUCUGAUUACUCUACUUUGAAGAAAGGAAUGGAACAGAAGGUGUCUGCAUAACUAAAUGGGGAUCUAGAGAAAGUGGAGACUGCCUCUGGAGCAGGGAGGAGGUGCCCUACUGUGUAUUGCUGGGGUCGUAUAGCCAAUUGGCGAACUAGCUGAUAAACCCUGGACAGAAAUAGAAACUACAAGAAGUGAAACAAAGUUCCAUCCAAGAAUGAAACAACAACUGAUCACGUGAGAUGCCCAUGUCAUCACUUGACCCACAGACAGGGGAGCAAAUAUAUUGAUGAUCUGGUCCUCCUGCCGGACUGUUGGUAUUCAUCCCUGUAAGUGAGAGGAAGGAAACAUUGCAACUUAAUGGGUGAGUCCUUCCUUCUGGUGAAUUUAACAUCAUGCAUUUGCUAGAUUUGCUAGCCAUGCAGUUAUGGUGAAAACAGGAAAGAUCCCUUUGGGUUUAACUAUAGAUUAGCCAUAGGAUUUGCAACCAGGAAAAGACCUUCAAGAUCAAUUCUAUUGGAACAUGGACAAUUAACAUAAAUAAACUGAGAAACAGACA
Long non-coding RNA from Homo sapiens (human), 1005 nucleotides. Ensembl annotates it as small nucleolar RNA host gene 26. Its record names the gene SNHG26. Lineage: Eukaryota; Metazoa; Chordata; Mammalia; Primates; Hominidae. The record is from Ensembl.